UGGGGAAUAUUGGGCAAUGGGCGCAAGCCUGACCCAGCAACGCCGCGUGAAGGAAGAAGGCUCUCGGGUUGUAAACUUCUUUUGUCAGGGACGAAGCAAGUGACGGUACCUGACGAAUAAGCCACGGCUAACUACGUGCCAGCAGCCGCGGUAAUACGUAGGUAGCAAGCGUUAUCCGGAUUUACUGGGUGUAAAGGGCGUGUAGGCGGGAUGGUAAGUCAGAUGUGAAAACUAUGGGCUCAACCCAUAGCCUGCAUUUGAAACUAUCGUUCUUGAGUGCUGGAGAGGCAAUCGGAAUUCCGUGUGUAGCGGUGAAAUGCGUAGAUAUACGGAGGAACACCAGUGGCGAAGGCGGAUUGCUGGACAGUGACUGACGCUGAGGCGCGAAAGCGUGGGGAGCAAACAGGAUUAGAUACCC
RNAcentral lists this ribosomal RNA (418 nucleotides) under uncultured bacterium. RNAcentral's name for it is "bacterial SSU rRNA". It matches the Rfam family "Bacterial small subunit ribosomal RNA", at positions 355 to 787 of the family's 1533-position model. The record is from RNAcentral.